UAUGACUCUCUUAAGGUAGCC
This 21-nucleotide small nuclear RNA is filed under the name Arabidopsis thaliana (thale cress). Its description in RNAcentral is "snRNA_13224". The record is from RNAcentral. Lineage: Eukaryota; Viridiplantae; Streptophyta; Magnoliopsida; Brassicales; Brassicaceae.